AUAGCUCAAUUGGUAGAGCAACUGACUUGUAAUCAGUAGGUUACGGGUUCGAUUCCUGUUUUUGGC
RNAcentral lists this transfer RNA (66 nucleotides) under human gut metagenome. It matches the Rfam family "tRNA". Rfam says of the family: Transfer RNA (tRNA) molecules are approximately 80 nucleotides in length. Their secondary structure includes four short double-helical elements and three loops (D, anti-codon, and T loops). Further hydrogen bonds mediate the characteristic L-shaped molecular structure. tRNAs have two regions of fundamental functional importance: the anti-codon, which is responsible for specific mRNA codon recognition, and the 3' end, to which the tRNAs corresponding amino acid is attached (by aminoacyl-tRNA synthetases). tRNAs cope with the degeneracy of the genetic code in two manners: having more than one tRNA (with a specific anti-codon) for a particular amino acid; and 'wobble' base-pairing, i.e. permitting non-standard base-pairing at the 3rd anti-codon position. The record is from RNAcentral.